AGCAGCCGCGGUAAUUCCAGCUCCAAUAGCGUAUAUUAAAGUUGUUGCAGUUAAAAAGCUCAUAGUUGAAUUUCGGGGUCAGUAGGCUGGUCGUGCCACAGGUAUGUACUGGUCUCACUGAUUCCUCCUUCCUGAUGAACCGUAAUGCCAUUAAUUUGGUGUUGCGGGGAGACUGGACUGUUACUUUGAAAAAAUUAGAGUGUUUAAAGCAGGCUAACGCUUGAAUACAUUAGCAUGGAAUAAUGAAAUAGGACGUUCGAUCUUAUUUUGUUGGUUUCUAAGAUUGACGUAAUGAUUAAUAGGGAUAGUUGGGGGCAUUAGUAUUCAAUUGUCAGAGGUGAAAUUCUUGGAUUUAUUGAAGACUAAACUACUGCGAAAGCAUUUGCCAAGGAUGUUUUCAUUAAUACAAGAACGAAAGUUAGGGGAUCGAAGACGAUCAGAUACCGUCGUAGUCUUAACCAUAAACUAUGACCGACUAGGGAUCGGAUGAUGUUAAUUUUUUAAUGUACUCAUUC
This 515-nucleotide ribosomal RNA is filed under the name uncultured Glomus. RNAcentral describes it as "SSU rRNA". It matches the Rfam family "Eukaryotic small subunit ribosomal RNA", at positions 569 to 1081 of the family's 1831-position model. The record is from RNAcentral. Lineage: Eukaryota; Fungi; Glomeromycota; Glomeromycetes; Glomerales; Glomeraceae.